AUGUCCUCAACCCUGAUGAAUUAUCUUGCUGGGAUAUCAUCUCAGACUUUUGGACAGAUCUCUUUAACCAACAGACCAGGGGAAAGGAGGAGGAUGACGGGCGGGCUCAUUCUAACGUUCUGUCUGCUGGGAGCAGCUUUGACUAGUUCAGUCCCUCAGUACGAUGUCACGGAUGAGCUCAGGCAUAAUGAUGAGCUAC
Oncorhynchus nerka (sockeye salmon) is the source of this 199-nucleotide long non-coding RNA. RefSeq lists it as uncharacterized. The record is from RefSeq and is a predicted model, not a curated record. Lineage: Eukaryota; Metazoa; Chordata; Actinopteri; Salmoniformes; Salmonidae. The transcript is spliced from 3 exons.